RNAcentral lists this ribosomal RNA (255 nucleotides) under uncultured bacterium. Its description in RNAcentral is "partial 16S ribosomal RNA". It matches the Rfam family "Bacterial small subunit ribosomal RNA", at positions 524 to 778 of the family's 1533-position model. The record is from RNAcentral.
GACGGAGGAUGCAAGUGUUAUCCGGAAUCACUGGGCGUAAAGCGUCUGUAGGUGGUUUAAAAAGUCUACUGUUAAAAAUUGAAGCUUAACUUCAAAGAUGCCGUAGAAACUUUUAAACUCGAGGAUGGUAGGGGUAGAGGGAAUUUCCAGUGGAGCGGUGAAAUGCGUAGAUCUUGGAAAGACCACCAAUGGCGAAGGCACUCUACUGGGCCAUUACUGACACUAAGAGACGAAAGCUAGGGGAGCAAAUGGGAU